AGAGUUUGAUCAUGGCUCAGGACGAACGCUGGCGGCGUGCCUAAUACAUGCAAGUCGAACGAGGUCUCCCUCGGUGGCAACACCUUGGGGGUACCUAGUGGCGAACGGGUGAGUAACACGUGAGGAACCUGCCCCGAAGACCGGGAUAACCAGAGGAAACCCUGGCUAAUACCGGAUGCCCCCACCGGAUCGCAUGGUCUGGUGAGGAAAUGGAUUCCGCUUCGGGAGGGCCUCGCGGCCUAUCAGCUUGUUGGUGGGGUAACGGCCCACCAAGGCGUCGACGGGUAGCUGGUCUGAGAGGACGAUCAGCCACACUGGGACUGAGACACGGCCCAGACUCCUACGGGAGGCAGCAGUAGGGAAUCUUGCGCAAUGGGCGAAAGCCUGACGCAGCAACGCCGCGUGCGGGAUGAAGGCCUUCGGGUUGUAAACCGCUUUCAGCAGGGACGAAAUUGACGGUACCUGCAGAAGAAGCCCCGGCCAACUACGUGCCAGCAGCCGCGGUAACACGUAGGGGGCAAGCGUUGUCCGGAUUUAUUGGGCGUAAAGAGCUCGUAGGCGGUUUCGUAAGUCGGGUGUGAAAACUCUAGGCUCAACCUAGAGACGCCACCCGAUACUGCGAUGACUAGAGUCCGGUAGGGGAGUGUGGAAUUCCUGGUGUAGCGGUGAAAUGCGCAGAUAUCAGGAGGAACACCAACGGCGAAGGCAGCACUCUGGGCCGGAACUGACGCUGAGGAGCGAAAGCGUGGGUAGCGAACAGGAUUAGAUACCCUGGUAGUCCACGCCGUAAACGUUGGGCACUAGGUGUGGGAUCUUUCCAACGGAUUCCGUGCCGUAGCUAACGCAUUAAGUGCCCCGCCUGGGGAGUACGGCCGCAAGGCUAAAACUCAAAUGAAUUGACGG
Molecule: ribosomal RNA, 903 nt
Filed under: uncultured bacterium
Lineage: Bacteria
Description: bacterial SSU rRNA
Rfam family: Bacterial small subunit ribosomal RNA
Source: RNAcentral